UGGGGAAUAUUGCGCAAUGGGCGAAAGCCUGACGCAGCAACGCCGUGUGAGGGAUGAAGGCUUUCGGGUCGUAUACCUCUGUCGGAAGGGAAGAACGGGCAUUGGUCUAAUAGGCCUUUGUUUUGACGGUACCUUUAGAGGAAGCACCGGCUAACUCCGUGCCAGCAGCCGCGGUAAUACGGAGGGUGCAAGCGUUAUUCGGAAUUACUGGGCGUAAAGCGCACGUAGGCCGCUUUGUAAGUCAGGGGUGAAAUCCCACGGCUCAACCGUGGAACUGCCCUUGAAACUGCGAAGCUUGAAUCCUGGAGAGGGUGGCGGAAUUCCUGGUGUAGGAGUGAAAUCCGUAGAUAUCAGGAGGAACACCGGUGGCGAAGGCGGCCACCUGGACAGGUAUUGACGCUGAGGUGCGAAAGUGUGGGGAGCAAACAG
Molecule: ribosomal RNA, 429 nt
Filed under: uncultured bacterium
Lineage: Bacteria
Description: bacterial SSU rRNA
Rfam family: Bacterial small subunit ribosomal RNA
Source: RNAcentral